CCUACGGGGGGCAGCAGUGAGGAAUAUUGGUCAAUGGGCGAGAGCCUGAACCAGCCAAGUCGCGUGAGGGAGUACUGCCCUAUGGGUUGUAAACCUCUUUUGUCGGGGAGCAAAAGCCGGACGUGUCCGGCUGUGAGAGUACCCGAAGAAAAAGCAUCGGCUAACUCCGUGUCAGCAGCCGCGGUAAUACGGAGGAUGCGAGCGUUAUCCGGAUUUAUUGGGGUUAAAGGGUGCGCAGGCGGAUUUUUAAGUCAGCGGUCAAAUCGUGGGGCUCAACCCCAUCCAGCCGUUGAAACUGGGGAUCUAGAGUGUGCGAGAGGUAUGCGGAAUGCGUGGUGUAGCGGUGAAAUGCAUAGAUAUCACGCAGAACCCCGAUUGCGAAGGCAGCAUACCGGUGCACAACUGACGCUCAGGCACGAAAGCGUGGGUAUCGAACAGGAUUAGAUACCCGGGUAGUC
Molecule: ribosomal RNA, 458 nt
Filed under: uncultured bacterium
Lineage: Bacteria
Description: partial 16S ribosomal RNA
Rfam family: Bacterial small subunit ribosomal RNA
Source: RNAcentral